UACGAAGGGGGCUAGCGUUGUUCGGAUUUACUGGGCGUAAAGCGCGUGUAGGCGGGCCGUUAAGUAGGGGGUGAAAUCCCAGAGCUCAACUCUGGAACUGCCUCCUAGACUGGCGGCCUGGACCCAAGGAGAGGCAAGUGGAAUUGCGAGUGUAGAGGUGAAAUUCGUAGAUAUUCGCAGGAACACCAGUGGCGAAGGCGACUUGCUGGACUUGUGGUGACGCUGAGACGCGAAAGCGUGGGGAGCAAACAGG
RNAcentral lists this ribosomal RNA (253 nucleotides) under uncultured bacterium. RNAcentral's name for it is "partial 16S ribosomal RNA". It matches the Rfam family "Bacterial small subunit ribosomal RNA", at positions 524 to 776 of the family's 1533-position model. The record is from RNAcentral.